Molecule: ribosomal RNA, 403 nt
Filed under: Verrucomicrobiota bacterium
Lineage: Bacteria; Pseudomonadati; Verrucomicrobiota
Description: Verrucomicrobia bacterium partial 16S ribosomal RNA
Rfam family: Bacterial small subunit ribosomal RNA
Source: RNAcentral
UGGUGAAUAUUGCACAAUGGGGGAAACCCUGAUGCAGCGACGCCGCGUGAGCGAAGAAGGUUUUCGAAUCGUAAAGCUCUGUCCUAUGAGAAGAUAAUGACGGUACCAUAAGAAAAAGCCCCGGCUAACUACGUGCCAGCAGCCGCGGUAAUACGUAGGGGGCUAGCGUUGUCCGGAAUCACUGGGCGUAAAGGGUUCGCAGGCGGAAAUGCAAGUCAGGUGUAAAAGGCAGUAGCUUAACUACUGUAAGCAUUUGAAACUGCAUAUCUUGAGAAGAGUAGAGGUAAGUGGAAUUUUUAGUGUAGCGGUGAAAUGCGUAGAUAUUAAAAAGAAUACCGGUGGCGAAGGCGACUUACUGGGCUCAUUCUGACGCUGAGGAACGAAAGCGUGGGUAGCAAACAGG